UAUUCUUGUUAGAUAUUAUUUAUUAUUUCUUUGUUGUAUAUGUAAGGUUUUGCUUGUUUAUUUAGUUUAUUUUGAUCUUUAAUAGGCAUAUUAAUUAAUAAGUUGUUUUGCAGUAUUUAGUUUUUUAAUAUUUAGGUAAUUAAGAUUGAGUUAUAGUAUUUAGUUUCGGUUAAAUUUGUGCCAGCAUCCGCGGUUAUACAUUGGAUGCAAGUAAAUAUUUAUAGUUUAGCAGUUAGAAUUUAGUUGUUUAAUUUUUAUAGAUGUGUUUAUUGGGUGAAAUUUUAAUUUUUUUUUAUUUAUUGGUUUGUAUUUUUGAAUCUGUGAAAUCUUUUUUUUAAACUAGGAUUAGAUACCCUAUUAUUGAUGAUGUAAAUUAUUUUAUGCUUGAGUAGUAGUAGUUAUGAUCUUUAAACUUAAAGAAUUUGGCGGUAUUUUAGUCUAUUUAGAGGAAUCUGUCCCGUUAUCGAUAUUUCACGUUAGAACUUGCUUAAUCUAUGUUUAUAUACCGCCGUUGUUUUAAGGGGAAUCUUUAUUGGGUGUGGAAUUUUUUGAUAACUUUAUAAUAGUUUUAAUUCAGGUCAAGGUUUAAUUAAUGAUUAAGUGGAGAUGGAUUACAAUAAAAUUAAUUUAUUAUGGAAUAUAAAUUGUAAUGUUUAUAUGAAGGUGGAUUUAAUAGUAAUUUUAUUUAAUAUAAUUUGAUGAUUUUGGCUCUAAAAUAUGUACACAUCGCCCGUCGCUCUCAUUUGUUGGUGAGAUAAGUCGUAACAUAGUAGUUGUACUGGAAAGUGUUGCUAGAUUGUA
Molecule: non-coding RNA, 801 nt
Filed under: Heterogamodes hebraica
Lineage: Eukaryota; Metazoa; Arthropoda; Insecta; Blattodea; Corydiidae
Description: 12S ribosomal RNA
Rfam family: Microsporidia small subunit ribosomal RNA (bases 387-794)
Source: RNAcentral